AGUCCUGUUACACAUGUGUGUUUACUACAGGUUAGUCCUGUUACACAUGUGUGUUUACUACAGGUUAGUCAUGUGUGUUUACUACAGGUUAGUCCUGUUACACAUGUGUGUUUACUACAGGUUAGACCUGUUACACAUGUGUGUUUACUACAGGUUAGACCUGUUACACAUGUGUGUUUACUACAGGUUAGACCUGUUACACAUGUGUGUUUA
Perca fluviatilis (European perch) is the source of this 213-nucleotide long non-coding RNA. RefSeq lists it as uncharacterized. The transcript has 3 exons. Lineage: Eukaryota; Metazoa; Chordata; Actinopteri; Perciformes; Percidae. The record is from RefSeq and is a predicted model, not a curated record.